UACGUAGGGUGCAAGCGUUAAUCGGAAUUACUGGGCGUAAAGCGUGCGCAGGCGGUGAUGUAAGACAGAUGCGAAAUCCCCGGGCUCAACCUGGGAACUGCAUUUGUGACUGCAUCGCUGGAGUGCGGCAGAGGGGGAUGGAAUUCCGCGUGUAGCAGUGAAAUGCGUAGAUAUGCGGAGGAACACCGAUGGCGAAGGCAAUCCCCUGGGCCUGCACUGACGCUCAUGCACGAAAGCGUGGGGAGCAAACAGG
This 253-nucleotide ribosomal RNA is filed under the name uncultured bacterium. Its description in RNAcentral is "partial 16S ribosomal RNA". It matches the Rfam family "Bacterial small subunit ribosomal RNA", at positions 524 to 776 of the family's 1533-position model. The record is from RNAcentral.